AUGCCCCGCCGCUGCCCUGCGCAGCCGCUGAGGCACCCGACGACGGCCGCGACGUCGCUGCCCUGCGCAGCCGCCGAGGCACCUGACGACGAGGUCGCCGAGUCACUCCACGACGGCCACGACAACGUGUUGUUCCCCAACACAGGUGCAGCCGCACAGACGCCCUGCCACGGCCGCGACGAGGAGCUCCUCGCCGACAUAGGUAGUAAUGAGAUUAAGAAUCGUAUGGAAAGGGAGCGGUCUCCAAAUCUUAGGAUAGAUCUCAUACGGAAGAUUCUGGCAAUACUAGAGCAUAACCCUUAUGCUCAAGUAUUUAAAAGCCUUGGUGCUGUUCCAAAUCUAGAUGAAUACAGGAUCUCAUUAAAUACCGAUAUCAAGCUUGAUCAACGAAGGAGAGCGUCCCCUGUAUAUUAUGCAUACUAUGGGUGCUACGACCCUUUGUCAUAUCCACUAUUCUUCCCACGUGGGGAGAUCGGUUGGAAUCGUUUGAUACCAUAUAUUGGGGCCGCCGAUGACAGAAACCAAGAUUCAGUGGUUGAUUCUGCACGACAAGAGUACCCAGCCUAUGUUCUUCCUUCAGACAAUAACAUGAUUAGCGAACAACUUGGUCAUGACGCAAGACAUGAAGACCAGGCCACUGAUUUAGCUGCAGGUAUCGCUUCAAGUGGAACUAAAAACUGA
Molecule: ribosomal RNA, 681 nt
Filed under: Triticum aestivum (bread wheat)
Lineage: Eukaryota; Viridiplantae; Streptophyta; Magnoliopsida; Poales; Poaceae
Description: partial small subunit ribosomal RNA
Source: RNAcentral